RNAcentral lists this long non-coding RNA (1126 nucleotides) under Oryza sativa Indica Group (long-grained rice). RNAcentral describes it as "lncRNA OsZS97_09G004560". Lineage: Eukaryota; Viridiplantae; Streptophyta; Magnoliopsida; Poales; Poaceae. The record is from RNAcentral.
AUGAUACAUUGCCGCAGGCACCAUCGUAUCAUCCUUGCAAGUCGCCUUCCUCAGCACAUCCACAUUUUAAACCACAUUCACAACCAAAACAGAUACCGAAUUUACCUGAAAGAAAUCCACCUCGGCCGCACCCGAGAGCACAUCCAGCAACAGGCAUGGCCAGUCGGUUGCGGAAUUGGCCAGUGGCCUCGAGAACCGGCCAGUCCUAUUCAUCUCCCGCACCGCCUCCUUCCUCCACCACUCUUGCAUCCGGAGCACCUCCUUGGCCACACGCAGCGCCGCCAUUGCCUCCUGCAUGUACGCCUUCUCCUCCAUGGAGCAGUUGGUCGCCUCCCCCUCACCAAUGCAGAAGGUAGAGUCGUCGCCACGCGCCGAGGAGGACGCGGCGAGGACGGCCCUCGCCCACAGCGUCGGGACUGGGUAACCGCCGCCGCCACGACCGCCGCGGCGGGCGGCUGGUCCCGCGAGGCGUGUCAGCGCGGUGUGGAGGCCGUGGGAGCGGGAGAGCGCGGCGAGCACGUCCUUGGACCCGACGGCGCCGCGGAGCACGGCGUCGCGCGCGAGGCCCUCGAGCGCGGACUCGAGGCGGAGGCGGAGGUCGGGGAGCGACGGCGCCGCGCCCUCGGCGGCGGGGAGGAGGAGCGACCACGGCGCGUCGGGGCCGGGGCGGAGGAAGUCGACGAAGGCGGCGGCGUGCGGGGGCUCAGACCACUGCGGGAGGAGGCGGCGGAGGAGGAGGGUGGACUUGCCGACGCCGCGGGGCCCGUGGAGGAUGAGCGGCUGCGGGACGCGCGGGCGGAGCGCGUGGUUGUGGAGGACCGUCUCGAGGACGGGGCGCGGGAUCACACGCCACGCCCUGCGGCGGCCGGCCGCUCCGGCGGACGCGGCGGCCAUGGGCGGCGGCGGCGGCGGGAGGUUGGUAGGGUUUUGUGGGGGGUUGCGGGCUUGCGGCGAAGGAAUGGAAGAGAGGAGGAGACGAGCAGGAGUGGAGACGGACAAGGCCACAUCGCGGUGUGUUCUUUGCAGGCUGGGCCGGGCUGGUCAGGGCCGGGCCGGGCCGGGCCGGGUGAGAAUACGGUCUUUUGUUUGGUCCGUGAUUAUGGAUGCAGGAAUUAAAUACUAAAGU